RNAcentral lists this transfer RNA (70 nucleotides) under Amphioctopus neglectus. RNAcentral's name for it is "tRNA-Ala". The record is from RNAcentral. Lineage: Eukaryota; Metazoa; Mollusca; Cephalopoda; Octopoda; Octopodidae.
GGUAUUAUAUUUUAUAAAGAAAAUUUAAUUUGCAAUUAAAAAGUAAUAAUAUAUAUAUUAUUUAAUACCA